CAGCAGCCGCGGUAACACGAAGGGGGCUAGCGUUGUUCGGAAUUACUGGGCGUAAAGGGCGCGUAGGCGGCCAUUCAAGUUAGAUGUGAAAGCCCUGGGCUCAACCUAGGAAUUGCAUUUGAUACUGUUUGGCUUGAGUUCGGGAGAGGUGAGUGGAAUUCCCAGUGUAGAGGUGAAAUUCGUAGAUAUUGGGAAGAACACCAGUGGCGAAGGCGGCUCACUGGACCGACACUGACGCUGAGGCGCGAAAGCGUGGGGAGCAAACAGGAUUAGAUACCCGGGUAGUCCCUGUCUCUUAUAC
This 301-nucleotide ribosomal RNA is filed under the name uncultured bacterium. Its description in RNAcentral is "partial 16S ribosomal RNA". It matches the Rfam family "Bacterial small subunit ribosomal RNA", at positions 509 to 807 of the family's 1533-position model. The record is from RNAcentral.